GAUGAACGCUGGCGGCGUGCCUAAUACAUGCAAGUCGAGCGAACAGACGAGGAGCUUGCUCCUCUGACGUUAGCGGCGGACGGGUGAGUAACACGUGGAUAACCUACCUAUAAGACUGGGAUAACUUCGGGAAACCGGAGCUAAUACCGGAUAAUAUAUUGAACCGCAUGGUUCAAUAGUGAAAGACGGUUUUGCUGUCACUUAUAGAUGGAUCCGCGCCGCAUUAGCUAGUUGGUAAGGUAACGGCUUACCAAGGCGACGAUGCGUAGCCGACCUGAGAGGGUGAUCGGCAACACUGGAACUGAGACACGGUCAAGACUACUACGGGAGGCAGCAGUAGGGAAUAUUCCGCAAUGGGCGAAAGCCUGACGGAGCAACGCCGCGUGAGUGAUGAAGGGCUUCGGAUCGUAAAACUCUGUUAUUAGGGAAGAAAAAAUGUGUAAGUAACUAUGCACGUCUUGACGGUACCUAAUCAGAAAGCCACGGCUAACUACGUG
This 497-nucleotide ribosomal RNA is filed under the name uncultured bacterium. RNAcentral describes it as "partial 16S ribosomal RNA". It matches the Rfam family "Bacterial small subunit ribosomal RNA", at positions 28 to 507 of the family's 1533-position model. The record is from RNAcentral.